UUUUAUAGAUGGUGGACCAUAAAGAAAUCAAAUCCUGUAUGUUACACAAUUGAAAAAGAAGAUGGUGGACCCACCGGUCCUUCUUCUUCACUAAUAGCUGUGUUUUCUUUCCGUAAGGGUAAUUUUGUAAACUUAUUUUUGUCCAUGUUAGGCUCUGUAAUUCAGUCCGUAUAGAACUUGGGCCCCUAUCCUUAUGGUUAGUUUUGAGGUGUUUUUAGUUAAAGAAAAGUAUAAGGUGGUGUUUUGUUAAAAUACUUUGGUCCAAGCCUUUUUCAUUAAAACUCUUAUUAAAGCCUUUUUCAUUAAAGUUUUCUUAAAAUUUUGAUCUCUCUAGCAUUGAUUUAUUUGUUGACUAAAACAAACUUUCCUAUUUUUAGGGGCAGCUUUCGUCUUGGUAUCCAAGAAAUUUAACCCUUUUGAAUCAUAUGAUUGGUUGAUGAAUUUAACAAGAUAUUUAUACUUAUUAAUCCUUUUGAAUUGGAAAAGGAUUUUCGUCGGAUCAUUUUUUUGGGCAUCAUAGGGAUCUUAUGAUCGUAAUCGUUCAUCGUAUAUCGUACGGUAAAAAAUUAUUUUAAAAUUUAAAAUUAAAUAUAAAUAGUAUUUAACGAAAACUGAUCGCACGAUAUACGAUGAACGAUGACGAUCAUGAAAUUCUUA
RNAcentral lists this long non-coding RNA (657 nucleotides) under Malus domestica (apple). RNAcentral describes it as "long non-coding RNA (MDOM_LNC005408)". Lineage: Eukaryota; Viridiplantae; Streptophyta; Magnoliopsida; Rosales; Rosaceae. The record is from RNAcentral.